RNAcentral lists this ribosomal RNA (436 nucleotides) under uncultured bacterium. RNAcentral describes it as "bacterial SSU rRNA". It matches the Rfam family "Bacterial small subunit ribosomal RNA", at positions 43 to 524 of the family's 1533-position model. The record is from RNAcentral.
CAGGCCUAACACAUGCAAGUCGAACGGCUCUUUCGGGUGUCAGUGGCAGACGGGUGAGUAACACGUGGGAACGUGCCUUUCGGUUCGGAAUAACUCAGGGAAACUUGAGCUAAUACCGGAUACGCCCUUACGGGGAAAGGUUUACCGCCGAAGGAUCGGCCCGCGUCUGAUUAGCUAGUUGGUGAGGUAAUGGCUCACCAAGGCGACGAUCAGUAGCUGGUCUGAGAGGAUGAUCAGCCACACUGGGACUGAGACACGGCCCAGACUCCUACGGGAGGCAGCAGUGGGGAAUAUUGGACAAUGGGCGAAAGCCUGAUCCAGCCAUGCCGCGUGAGUGAUGAAGGCCUUAGGGUUGUAAAGCUCUUUUACCCGGGAAGAUAAUGACUGUACCGGGAGAAUAAGCUCCGGCUAACUCCGUGCCAGCAGCCGCGGUAAU